GGGUCUGUGGUUUAGUGGUAUAAUACUCCCUUAGCAUGCGAAACCCCGGUCAUCAUUCUGGGUUAAUUCGGGCUAAUUUGGGAGUGGUCCGGGGUUCGAUUCCCCGCGGAUCCA
Transfer RNA from Macrophomina phaseolina MS6, 114 nucleotides. It matches the Rfam family "tRNA". From Rfam's summary of the family: Transfer RNA (tRNA) molecules are approximately 80 nucleotides in length. NCBI's taxonomy places the organism in Eukaryota, Fungi, Ascomycota, Dothideomycetes, Botryosphaeriales, Botryosphaeriaceae. The record is from Rfam.